This 1404-nucleotide ribosomal RNA is filed under the name metagenome. Its description in RNAcentral is "bacterial SSU rRNA". It matches the Rfam family "Bacterial small subunit ribosomal RNA". The record is from RNAcentral.
GUUUCUUCGGAAGCGAGUAGAGUGGCGCACGGGUGAGUAACACGUAGAUAACCUGCCCUUCAGUCCGGGACAACCUUCUGAAAAGGGGGCUAAUACUGGAUAAUACUUAUAGAUGAGUGUUUUUAAGUUAAAAGAUUUAUUGCUGGGGGAUGGGUCUGCGCACCAUUAGCUAGUUGGGGGGGUAACGGCCCACCAAGGCUACGAUGGUUAGCGGGUCUGAGAGGAUGGUCCGCCACACUGGAACUGAGACACGGUCCAGACUCCUACGGGAGGCAGCAGUGGGGAAUUUUGCGCAAUGGGCGUAAGCCUGACGCAGCAAUACCGCGUGAGUGAAGAAGGCCUUUGGGUCGUAAAGCUCUUUUUUCAGGGAAGAUAAUGACGGUACCUGAAGAAUAAGCGCCGGCUAACUCCGUGCCAGCAGCCGCGGUAAUACGGAGGGCGCGAGCGUUGUUCGGAUUUACUGGGCGUAAAGGGCGCGUAGGCGGCAUAACAAGCUAAGGGUGAAAUCCCGGGGCUCAACUCCGGAACUGUUCUUAGAACUGUUAAGCUAGAGAUAGUUAGAGGCGGGUGGAAUUCCUGGUGUAGAGGUGAAAUUCGUAGAUAUCAGGAGGAACACCGGAGGCGAAGGCGACCCGCUGGGACUAUUCUGACGCUGAUGCGCGAAAGCGUGGGGAGCGAACGGGAUUAGAUACCCCGGUAGUCCACGCCGUAAACGAUGAAUACCGGCUGUUUGGGAAAUCGACCUUCCAAGUGGCGCAGCUAACGCGAUGAGUAUUCCGCCUGGGGAUUACGGUCGCAAGACUAAAACUCAAAGGAAUUGACGGGGGCCCGCACAAGCGGUGGAGCAUGUGGUUUAACUCGACGCAACGCGAAGAACCUUACCUGGGUUUGACAUCCCCUGCUAGUCACAGAGAUGUGAUUUUCUCUUCGGAGACAGGGUGACAGGUGCUGCAUGGCUGUCGUCAGCCCUGUCGUGAGAUGUUGGGUUAAGUCCCGCAACGAGCGCAACCCUUGUCCUUAGUUGCCAGCGAUUCGGUCGGGAACUCUAAGGAGACUGCCGGUGUUAAGCCGGAGGAAGGUGGGGAUGACGUCAAGUCCUCAUGGCCUUUAUAUCCAGGGCUACACACGUGCUACAAUGGUGACUACAAAGAGUCGCGAAGCCGCGAGGUGGAGCUAAUCUCAAAAAAGUCAUCUCAGUUCGGAUUGCAAUCUGCAACUCGGUUGCAUGAAGUUGGAAUCGCUAGUAAUCGUAGAUCAGCGCGCUACGGUGAAUACGUUCCCGGGCCUUGUACACACCGCCCGUCACACCAUGGGAGUUGACAUUAGCAGAAUACAUUGAGCUAACUUUCGAGAGGCAGGUGUAGAAGCUAGUGUUGAUGACUGGGGUGAAGUCGUAACAAGGUA